This 21-nucleotide microRNA is filed under the name Homo sapiens (human). Its description in RNAcentral is "hsa-miR-7109-5p". The record is from miRBase by way of RNAcentral. Lineage: Eukaryota; Metazoa; Chordata; Mammalia; Primates; Hominidae.
CUGGGGGGAGGAGACCCUGCU